Pelmatolapia mariae (spotted tilapia) is the source of this 478-nucleotide long non-coding RNA. RefSeq lists it as uncharacterized. The transcript is spliced from 3 exons. Lineage: Eukaryota; Metazoa; Chordata; Actinopteri; Cichliformes; Cichlidae. The record is from RefSeq and is a predicted model, not a curated record.
AACUCUAUGUUACAAUGAUUGCACAGCCAUUAAGGAUCAAAUCAGUUUCUGAAAAAUGUUCUGUUUUUUCUCCCUCUGCUUGCUUCUUACUGUCUUUGAGGCUCGGGACCAGCACUCCUGUUGUUGGACAGAAAGACAUCAACUCAGUGACUUGAGAUAUGACUGCACUAUGCUGUUGCUGUGACUCCAGUUAAUUCUACAAGACAUGCUGUGACAACAGGAGAGAUGAGUCCUCCAUCACAGAUGGUGUGGUCAGUGAAGAUGGUCGCCUGCAGGUUCAAGCUCAUUGCAUCUCCAACCCACAUCCACUGCCACUGUACUUAAGGGAAGUUAAAGACUUUCUUCUGCACCUACAUUUGGAUCACCUCGAUCCAUGACAGUCAUUCAGGCAGUAAUGCCUGGACUGGAAACAAGCCAUCCUUAAAAUAAUACAACAUUCCAGCUCAUGUGUUGGAAUGAAAAACAAAUGUGUUGUUUA